This 393-nucleotide ribosomal RNA is filed under the name uncultured bacterium. RNAcentral describes it as "partial 16S ribosomal RNA". It matches the Rfam family "Bacterial small subunit ribosomal RNA", at positions 523 to 918 of the family's 1533-position model. The record is from RNAcentral.
AUACGGAGGAUCCGAGCGUUAUCCGGAUUUAUUGGGUUUAAAGGGAGCGUAGGUGGAUUGUUAAGUCAGUUGUGAAAGUUUGCGGCUCAACCGUAAAAUUGCAGUUGAAACUGGCAGUCUUGAGUGCAGUAGAGGUGGGCGGAAUUCGUGGUGUAGCGGUGAAAUGCUUAGAUAUCACGAAGAACUCCGAUUGCGAAGGCAGCUCACUAGACUGUUACUGACACUGAUGCUCGAAAGUGUGGGUAUCAAACAGGAUUAGAUACCCUGGUAGUCCACACAGUAAACGAUGAAUACUCGCUGUUUGCGAUAUACAGUAAGCGGCCAAGCGAAAGCAUUAAGUAUUCCACCUGGGGAGUACGCCGGCAACGGUGAAACUCAAAUGAAUUGACGGGG